AUGUUGCGAUACGACCUUGAAGAUCAGCUCUCCACCAUUUACACAGAUGAAGAGGCCUACUAGCGUCUGCGCGGGACCCAACGGUGGGUGCUCCGGGGUGACGCCAACACCGUCUAUUUCCAGGCGGUGGCGAACGGCCGGCGACGGUGUAACUCCAUCCACUGCCUGUGGGAUGGCGAAACCCCUCUCGUCCGCCCCUCUUCCAUCCGUACCCAUGUUGGUGGCUUCUAUAAAGCCCUGUUUACCCCCACCCCUCGGGGUGGGGCUAGUCUCGCCCCCGACAUUUGGUCGGGUGAGCAAUUGGUCUCUGAGGAGGCCAAUGCGGCUUUAGUGGCCCCCUUCGCCGAAGACGAGGUCCUCAUGGCUAUUAACGGGAUGAACCCCUCUUCGGCCCCGGGACCGGAUGGCCUGCCCGUGAAGUUCUUCAAAACAUUCUGGCCUACCAUCAAGCUGGAGGUUAUGGCCCUGUUUGAGGAAUUCUAUUCGGGUUCUAUGGACCUUGGGCGCCUCAACUAUGGGAUCGUAACCCUCAUCCCCAAGGUUCCGGGCACUUCCGACAUCCACCAGUUCCGGCCUAUUACAGUG
This 585-nucleotide ribosomal RNA is filed under the name Triticum aestivum (bread wheat). RNAcentral's name for it is "partial small subunit ribosomal RNA". Lineage: Eukaryota; Viridiplantae; Streptophyta; Magnoliopsida; Poales; Poaceae. The record is from RNAcentral.